Long non-coding RNA from Daphnia pulex (common water flea), 2077 nucleotides. RefSeq lists it as uncharacterized. The transcript is spliced from 7 exons. The record is from RefSeq and is a predicted model, not a curated record. Lineage: Eukaryota; Metazoa; Arthropoda; Branchiopoda; Diplostraca; Daphniidae.
ACACUAGUACAACAAUCGUCUGCUAGCCUAGCUAGUAGCUACUCUAGCUACGUGAUGAGCUAAGUGAUGAGCACAAUUAGUGGAUUAAAGUUAUAUUUUAACCUAGAACAAAUUGCAAGAAUUGAUUUUUUUAAUGAGCUUUAUUACUAUCAAGGUAAUAAAUACUUGUUAAAAACCCCCCGAAGAAAUGAUUAUAUUUACUAUUAAAAAUAUUGAAUUUAAAUUAAAAAUUAGUUAAUUAAUAGUUCAAUGAAAUUUUUAAUUUAAAUUCAAUAUUUUUAAUAGUAAAUAUAAUUAUUUCUUCGGGGGUUUUAAACAAGUAUUUAUUACCUUGAUAGUAAUAAAGUUCAUUAAAAAAUCAAUUCUUGCAAUUUGUUCUAGGUUAACAUAGCCUUUUGGCAUAACUUUACUCCACUAAAUUGUCUUGACCCAACUCGUAUAAAAGUGAGAAAGGCUCUCAGUAAAGCAUUGUGGGACAGAAGCCGCAGUGAUGUUUCUCUUCAAGUCCACACUGCAGUGGAAAGCAAUCAACUUGCCAUGGAUGUUGAGCACUCUAUUUUCUCGUGCACCUUUCUGGAUUGCCCAAGGUACAAGACUAAGUAUCGACAACUGUACUUCAGCAUUAGAGAUCUCAGCAACAGACUCUACAGGAAAAUAUUAUUGUAACGAUCCCUCCCUUUUGAUGAAUUGGUCAUGCUACCAAUUGGGAGUUGGCUAACGAAGCAACGAAAGAUUGGAGGAAGCUCUUAGUCAAACACCGACUCGAUUCUAUUCGAAUGAACGAAGUUACCAAGAUGAACAGCCAUGAAGUGUGUUUUGUUAAAACAGUCGAAGGGGCACGUGUUCCCCGACCGUUGUGACUUCGACGUCGGUAACUGGUAACUGGUUUCGCUUAUUUUCUUUUGCACAAUUAUUAUCCGAUUUAAAAGGGCCGAAAUUUGCCGAAAAGAAGAAGAAUGCCAUAAAAUUCCGUCUAAACGCAUCUCACGAUCCACCGGACUACGAACAAAAUGCGUGGAAGGCUCUUCGAAUCAACAGGUGGUUCUGGAAUCGCCGAUUACACCACGCAGUGAUUACUCGCGUCUAAUAAACUGCAGAUUUCUGCAUUGAGAACGGAAUUGCAAAGGCGCCCGCAAGACGACCAUCUUUUAAAUUGGAUGGUUUGGCGAGAAAGAGAGCCAACUUCUGGCGGCUUUUUGGUUGAUUUGGGUGAAGGAAAACGUUCCCUCCUGACGUCUUUGAUAAGCCAUAACAGGAGCACUUUGAUAAUUUGUGCUGAAAAUUCUCUUGGUGAAUGGAUCGAAACUAUGCGCCGUUCUGGACUUAGCGUGGCUAAAUAUUUUGGAGUAAAUCGACGAUUUUGAUCUCCACUCUUCACGAAUUUGAAGUCGUAGCGACUACAUUUAAGAAUUUUAAUAGAUAUUAAUGCACGAAGUUAAUUUACUUUCUGGAUCAGCGCCUGAGCUACAGUAUAACUCGAUUUUAAUCCAAACUGAGUUUCAGUGCAUUGUUAUUGAUGGGCUAGGGGAUCCUGUCUUCCUUCAAAAACUACUUAAAUUGCGUGCCGCUCGGCGAUGGGUUAUCGCUGGAGACCUCAUUGACAGUCACGUGAAGCUACACUCGCACUUGCGAGCCCUAUGUGCUUCGCCUUUUGACGAAAAAGAGUUUUUGAAUAUUUGGAUAAAUAACAAAGACGGAGAAGCCAAAGCUCGCGUGGAUCUUCUCAUGCAAGUUUUACAAUUACGUGUUUCAGCACCCCUCCCGCUUAGAUUGGUCUCGAUUAUGAGUAACGGUAAUGGCCAAAUGGCAAACAAGCAAGAUUUUUCUAUUUUUAACUUACUCUCAGAGUGGCAUUCUAAGUAGCAAAUUUGUCAAUUGAUGUUAAAAAUUUAACGUAACUUAAACUUAGGGGAUAAUUUACUUGACUGUUGAUUCCCUUAUUUUUCCCCGGAUAAGAUUGUUGUAUUUGUUUGGCUUCUGAACUUCUUUGCACUUGACCAAAUCCCAGAAUUGUCAAUUGUAAAAAGCUAAAUUCGGCUGUUGCUAUGAUAAAUGAAAUAAAAAUGUGUCAAGAAAA